This 198-nucleotide ribosomal RNA is filed under the name uncultured bacterium. Its description in RNAcentral is "partial 16S ribosomal RNA". It matches the Rfam family "Bacterial small subunit ribosomal RNA", at positions 328 to 539 of the family's 1533-position model. The record is from RNAcentral.
ACGCUCGACACCUACGGGGGGCAGCAGUGGGGAAUAUUGCACAAUGGGGGAAACCCUGAUGCAGCGACGCCGCGUGAAGGAAGAAGUAUUUCGGUAUGUAAACUUCUAUCAGCAGGGAAGAAACUGACGGUACCUGACUAAGAAGCACCGGCUAAAUACGUGCCAGUAGCCGCGGUAAUCUGAGCGGGCUGGCAAGGC